UGGUUGAUCCUGCCAGUAGUCAUAUGCUUGUCUCAGAGAUUAAGCCAUGCAUGUCUAAGUACACACUUUGGUAAAGUGAAACCGCGAGUGGCUCAUUAAAUCAGCUACAAUUUAUUAGAUCGUACACUGUUACUUGGAUAACUGUGGGAAUUCUAGAGCUAAUACAUGCCGAGAGUCUCUGCUCUUCGGGGCAGAGCGCAGUUAUUAGACCAAAACCAGCCGUAUUCUUCGGGGCACGCUCUUUUGGUGACUCUGGAUAACCUUCAGCCGAUCGCAUGGCCUCGUGCCGGCGACGUAUCUUUCAAGUGUCUGCCCUAUCAACUUUCGAUGGUACGUGAUAUGCCUACCAUGGUGAUAACGGGUAACGGGGAAUCAGGGUUCGAUUCCGGAGAGGGAGCCUGAGAAAUGGCUACCACAUCCAAGGAUGGCAGCAGGCGCGCAAAUUACCCACUCCCAGCUUGGGGAGGUAGUGACGAAAAAUAACAAUGCGGGACUCUAAGAGGCCCCGUAAUUGGAAUGAGUACACCUUAAAUCGUUUAACGAGUAUCAAUUGGAGGGCAAGUCUGGUGCCAGCAGCCGCGGUAAUUCCAGCUCCAAUAGCGUAUAUAAAAGUUGCUGCAGUUAAAAAGCUCGUAGUUGGAUCUGGGGCUUGAGGUCGCUGUCUAUCGUUUCGGCGAUGACGGUGAUGCUCAGCUCUGCUUGCCGGUGACUGUUGCGGUGUUCUUCACUGAGCGCUGUAGCAGCACGGCACGUUUACUUUGAAAAAAUUAGAGUGCUCAAAGCGUGCUUGUCGCUUGAAUAAUGUUGCAUGGAAUAAUGGAAUAGGACCUCGGUUCUAUUUUGUUGGUUUUCGGAGCUUGAGGUAAUGAUUAAGAGGGACGAACGGGGGCAUUCGUAUUGCGGUGUUAGAGGUGAAAUUCUUGGAUCGCCGCAAGACGGACUACUGCGAAAGCAUUUGCCAAGAACGCUUUCAUUAAUUAAGAACGAAAGUCAGAGGUUCGAAGACGAUCAGACACCGUCCUAGUUCUGACCAUAAACGAUGCCGACCAGCGAUCCGUAGUGGUUGCUUUAUGGACCCUACGGGCAGCCUCCGGGAAACCAAAGUACUUGGGUUCCGGGGGAAGUAUGGUUGCAAAGCUGAAACUUAAAGGAAUUGACGGAAGGGCACACCAGGAGUGGAGCCUGCGGCUUAAUUUGACCCAACACGGGAAAACUCACCCGGUCCGGACACCGUAAGGAUUGACAGACUGAUAGCUCUUUCUUGAUUCGGUGGAUGGUUGUGCAUGGCCGUUCUUAGUUGGUGGAGUGAUUUGUCUGGUUAAUUCCGAUAACGAACGAGACUCUAGCCUGCUAAGUAGAG
RNAcentral lists this ribosomal RNA (1360 nucleotides) under metagenome. RNAcentral describes it as "SSU rRNA". It matches the Rfam family "Eukaryotic small subunit ribosomal RNA", at positions 5 to 1360 of the family's 1831-position model. The record is from RNAcentral.